AUGCAUAAAACCACCACACAUCCCUUCAAAUGGUAUCAGAGCAAAGGUUCAUUAUGACAUGAACAUAUAUGCAUGUAGAGUUAAAAUCUAGAUUUAGUAAUGCAUAAGAUGUAUUAUGAUCUAAUUUUAGAUAUGAUCUAACAUAAAAAUUAGAUCUAAUAUAAUUUACAUUAGAUCUAUAUUUUUGCAUAUAUGAUAUGUGAGUAGAUUAGAUGAUCCGAUUAGCAAGUACUUAGAUUAGGUU
Molecule: long non-coding RNA, 244 nt
Filed under: Elaeis guineensis (African oil palm)
Lineage: Eukaryota; Viridiplantae; Streptophyta; Magnoliopsida; Arecales; Arecaceae
Description: long non-coding RNA (EGUI_LNC070051)
Source: RNAcentral